AUAAAACAAAACUUUCAACAACGGAUCUCUUGGUUCUGGCAACGAUGAAGAACGCAGCGAAAUGCGAUAAGUAAUGUGAAUUGCAGAAUUCAGUGAAUCAUCGAAUCUUUGAACGCACAUUGCGCCCCCUGGUAUUCCGGGGGGCACACCUGUUCGAGCGCCAUUUCUACCCUGGAGCCCUGCUCUGUGAUGGGCCCCGUCCUCGCGGACGGGCCCGAAACCCGUGGGCGCCGUCGUCCGGCCCUGAGCGUAGCAAGAGAAAUCCCUCGCUCGGAGUGUCUGUCGGCAGGCCGCCCCGAAACUAUUAUUUACAAGA
Molecule: ribosomal RNA, 316 nt
Filed under: Fusicladium eriobotryae
Lineage: Eukaryota; Fungi; Ascomycota; Dothideomycetes; Venturiales; Sympoventuriaceae
Description: eukaryotic LSU rRNA
Rfam family: 5.8S ribosomal RNA (bases 10-163)
Source: RNAcentral